Molecule: transfer RNA, 64 nt
Filed under: Cavia porcellus (domestic guinea pig)
Lineage: Eukaryota; Metazoa; Chordata; Mammalia; Rodentia; Caviidae
Rfam family: tRNA
About the family: Transfer RNA (tRNA) molecules are approximately 80 nucleotides in length. Their secondary structure includes four short double-helical elements and three loops (D, anti-codon, and T loops).
Source: Rfam by way of RNAcentral
GGGGAUUUAGCUCAGUGGCAUAAGCACCCGCUUUAUGAGCAGGUGGUCGUGAGUUCAAUCCCCG